Grammomys surdaster is the source of this 126-nucleotide long non-coding RNA. RefSeq lists it as uncharacterized. The record is from RefSeq and is a predicted model, not a curated record. The transcript is spliced from 3 exons. Lineage: Eukaryota; Metazoa; Chordata; Mammalia; Rodentia; Muridae.
UGUGAAGCGCUAAUUCUCCUUGAGGAUGGAGAGGGGAGGAGAAUCCUUGGAAACUCAAGGGCGAAUAACUGGUGUGCACAGCUCCUUGGCAACAACAGACAAACAAGGAGGAGUGUGGAAUGGGAG